GAGGAAAGCUGGCGGCGUGCCUAAUACAUGCAAGUCGAGCGAACAGACGAGGAGCUUGCUCCUCUGACGUUAGCGGCGGACGGGUGAGUAACACGUGGAUAACCUACCUAUAAGACUGGGAUAACUUCGGGAAACCGGAGCUAAUACCGGAUAAUAUAUUGAACCGCAUGGUUCAAUAGUGAAAGACGGUUUUGCUGUCACUUAUAGAUGGAUCCGCGCCGCAUUAGCUAGUUGGUAAGGUAACGGCUUACCAAGGCAACGAUGCGUAGCCGACCUGAGAGGGUGAUCGGCCACACUGGAACUUAGACACGGUCCAGACUCCUACGGGAGGCAGCAGUAGGGAAUCUUCCGCAAUGGGCGAAAGCCUGACGGAGCAACGCCGCGUGAGUGAUGAAGGUCUUCGGAUCGUAAAACUCUGUUAUUAGGGAAGAACAAAUGUGUAAGUAACUAUGCACGUCUUGACGGUACCUAAUCAGAAAGCCACGGCUAACUACGUG
Molecule: ribosomal RNA, 497 nt
Filed under: uncultured bacterium
Lineage: Bacteria
Description: partial 16S ribosomal RNA
Rfam family: Bacterial small subunit ribosomal RNA
Source: RNAcentral